RNAcentral lists this long non-coding RNA (223 nucleotides) under Elaeis guineensis (African oil palm). Its description in RNAcentral is "long non-coding RNA (EGUI_LNC001777)". Lineage: Eukaryota; Viridiplantae; Streptophyta; Magnoliopsida; Arecales; Arecaceae. The record is from RNAcentral.
CAGUAACAGCCCCAACGGUGGCUGUUGCUGACGUCACACAGGGAAAAGAAAAAAAAAUAGGGAUGACCCUGUUCUUCUUCGAUUCGACGGCUGGCCGUUGUUUGUCGGUGAAUAAACGAUCUCCAGGUAAGGAAGAAAGGUAGGGAAGGAGCUUACCUUGCUCCGGCGGUUGAGAAGAGCUCCGACGAACCCCUUUUUCCCAUCUAAGAACCCGCGGAUCCUC